Molecule: ribosomal RNA, 511 nt
Filed under: uncultured bacterium
Lineage: Bacteria
Description: partial 16S ribosomal RNA
Rfam family: Bacterial small subunit ribosomal RNA
Source: RNAcentral
GACAAACGCUGGCGGCAUGCCUAACACAUGCAAGUCGAACGGACAGAACAGGGAAGCUUUUCGGAGUGGAACUGGAAAGUUAGUGGCGGAUGGGUGAGUAACGCGUGGACAACCUACCUUGUAAAGGGGAAUAACCUCGAGAAAUCGAAGCUAAUACCCCAUAAUACCCUUGCUUCGCAUGAAGUAAGGAGGAAAGGCGGCCUUAGCGCUGUCGAUACAAGAUGGGUCCGCGUCUGAUUAGCUAGUUGGUGAGGUAAAGGCUCACCAAGGCGACGAUCAGUAGCCGGCCUGAGAGGGUGAACGGCCACAUUGGGACUGAGACACGGCCCAAACUCCUACGGGAGGCAGCAGUGGGGAAUCUUCCGCAAUGGGCGAAAGCCUGACGGAGCAAUGCCGCGUGAGUGAAGAAGGCCUUCGGGUUGUAAAACUCUGUCCUUAUCGAAGAGAGAGUGUUGUAGUAACUGACAAUACUAGGACGGUAGAUGAGGAGGAAGCCCCGGCUAACUAUGUG